AAGCUUGCUUGUUGGGGUUGUAGGACACUCUAUACGGAGUUACAAAAGAACAUGUUAGACGAAUCAUCUGGAAAGAUGAAUCAAAGAAGGUAAUAAUCCUGUAGUCGAAAACAUAUUCUCUCUUGAGUGGAUCCUGAGUACGACGGAGCACGUGAAAUUCCGUCGGAAUCUGGGAGGACCAUCUCCUAAGGCUAAAUACUCUCUAGUGACCGAUAGUGAACCAGUACCGUGAGGGAAAGGUGAAAAGUACCCCGGAAGGGGAGUGAAAGAGAACUUGAAACCGUGUGCUUACAAGUAGUCAGAGCCCGUUAAUGGGUGAUGGCGUGCCUUUUGUAGAAUGAACCGGCGA
RNAcentral lists this ribosomal RNA (349 nucleotides) under Listeria monocytogenes. RNAcentral's name for it is "partial 23S ribosomal RNA". It matches the Rfam family "Bacterial large subunit ribosomal RNA", at positions 280 to 626 of the family's 2925-position model. The record is from RNAcentral. Lineage: Bacteria; Bacillati; Bacillota; Bacilli; Caryophanales; Listeriaceae.